This is an RNA transcript of Schistocerca gregaria, 1787 nucleotides long. It is a transcript of the gene named probable asparagine--tRNA ligase, mitochondrial, with no coding region annotated. The record is from RefSeq and is a predicted model, not a curated record. The transcript has 7 exons. NCBI's taxonomy places the organism in Eukaryota, Metazoa, Arthropoda, Insecta, Orthoptera, Acrididae.
AAAGCCGGCAAUGUCAGUAUUGUUGUUUAAUUAUUUGGGGCGCGUGUAUCAAACAGGUGCGUGUAGCAAUGUUGUGAAGAACUAUAUUCAUAACAUAUCACGCAUAUCAGAUGUCUUAACAUCAAAACCCAUUGAUUGUAGUGUGACAGUCCAGGGAUGGGUAAAAGGCCUGAGGAAGAUGAAGGACUUGACAUUUGUCGAUAUUAAUGAUGGCUCUUGUGUAAAAAGAUUGCAGAUUUUGAUUCCAACCCGCGACAAACCCAAUCAACUGGCAUUUGGAGCGUCAGUGAGAGCAUCUGGAUUACUUAAAACAAAUAGUAAAGGUGAUUUGGAACUGUCGGCGAGUCACAUUCAAGUAAUCGGGCCUUGUGUUUUCACAGAUGGUUAUCCAUUCGCAGCCAGGAAAUCCUAUCCACCCGAUUAUGUGCGUCAGUUUUUGCAUUUAAGGUCAAGAACAACUACUUUUGGUGCUCUUCUGCGGAUGCGAGGAGCUGUGUCACAUACUGUACACAAAUAUUUCAAUAAACUUGGUUUUCUUUAUAUUCACACUCCAAUAUUAACAGCUAAUGACUGUGAAGGUGCAGGAGAAGUCUUUCUUGUAAUGCCUGAAAGUAAAAAGUUACGUGAAGAAAUGUCAAAGUCAGGAUGCAGUGAAGAAGAAGCAUAUUUCGAUUCUAAAGUAUUUCUCACAGUUUCAGGACAGCUACAUUUGGAAGCUGUACUAAGGGGAAUUGGUAAUGUUUACUGUUUUGGCCCAACAUUUCGUGCGGAGAAUUCACGCUCUGGCAGACAUCUUUCUGAAUUCUACAUGAUUGAGGCAGAACUGGCAUUUUCUGAUAACCUGGAUGAUGUGUCUGCUGUGGCAGAAGGUAUAGUCCGUGCAUCAGCAGAAUGUUUGUUGGCAGAGCAUCCUGAUGAUGUAGAGCUCUUGGCAGGAAAAGAAAGAUGCAGAGUUCUUGAGUCAGUGCUGAAUCCAGACCCUUUCCCUAAAGUAAUGCGCAGUGAAGCUGCUGUGGCCCUUGGCAUUGACCCUGAUGCUCCAUUGUCACGAGAACAUGAACUAGAGAUAGUGAACCGGUUUGGUGGAGGAAGGCCUGUGUUUGUUUAUGGAGCACCAGCAUCUACAGCCCCUUUCUACGCUAAGCAAUCUAGUAAACCAGGAGAGGUUGAAUCUUUGGAGUUGCUGGCUCCUGUUGUUGGUGAACUAGUUGGUGGAAGUAUUCGUGAAGACAACCCAGAUGUCUUACAAGAAAAGCUAUUGAAUCUUGGUUUACAAGAAUCACUUGCCUGGUAUCUGGACAUACGUCGCUUUGGAAGCAUCCCUUCUGGAGGAUUUGGACUCGGUUUUGAAAGACUGCUUCAAACAUUGUUGGACGUGCACAACAUACGGGACACAGUUCCAUUCCCUCGGUGGCCUCACAAUUGUAAAGCCUGAGGAAUGUUUUGUCUGUACUCGGGGCCAGUUUUCCGUGCGCCACCCUAUAUUAUUUCUCUGCUAUCAGCCACACAAGGCUACGGUUGGCUAAACGAGAGGUUCUGCAGAAUCACAGAAUUUACUUCUAAAAGAAUUGAAGCAAGAACCAGGAAGGAAUGUCUGCAGUGUACUGUGUUCUGUCUUCCAUGAAGUGAUGAUAGAAAUGCCAAGCCAAAGUUUGGAUAGUGAGUAGCCAAACAAUUAAGGCUUUUGAGGAUAUCUUGAAUCCCCGAAACUGUCUCAAAAAAUGGAAAGAAGUGUUCUGUAACUGUAUAAAAUGCUGUUUGCAUUAAACCCUCUUGUUGAACAUUUU